ACAGGAAUUUGAAUGGGAUCUAGCAAUCGCCCAUGCAUACACACACUUUACCUACGGGGUAUUUAGAUGCAGUAUUACACUCACCAUCUUUGUAUAGGAAUUUCUGGCAUUGGACUUUACAAUCGCUAUCUUUGGUGCAAGAAUUAUUAGUGAAAUCCUUGGGACAUAACUUCUUUUCUAUAAUUUCCAUCUUUUUUACAGCCCCUGUCAAAUCUUCUUCCAUCAUUCUUUCUGUACUACCUAAUUCAUCCUCAUUGGAAUCAUAAAAAUAUUAGAUCCAGGAAAUUCGAGAACUAAAGAUUAAAAUAAGACAAGAAUCUAGGAUUACCUAAUGGAAACCAGAGGAACAACACAGCAACGGUAAAAAGGCAAAUGAACAUAAAUCCCUCAAUUCCUCCAACUUUGGCCAUCUCUUGUUUACAAUUCUAUUCAAAUGGAAGAACUGGAAGAAAGAAAG
Molecule: long non-coding RNA, 457 nt
Filed under: Zostera marina
Lineage: Eukaryota; Viridiplantae; Streptophyta; Magnoliopsida; Alismatales; Zosteraceae
Description: long non-coding RNA (ZMAR_LNC003453)
Source: RNAcentral